This 390-nucleotide ribosomal RNA is filed under the name Listeria monocytogenes. Its description in RNAcentral is "bacterial SSU rRNA". It matches the Rfam family "Bacterial small subunit ribosomal RNA", at positions 1151 to 1533 of the family's 1533-position model. The record is from RNAcentral. Lineage: Bacteria; Bacillati; Bacillota; Bacilli; Caryophanales; Listeriaceae.
GCCGGUGACAAACCGGAGGAAGGUGGGGAUGACGUCAAAUCAUCAUGCCCCUUAUGAUUUGGGCUACACACGUGCUACAAUGGACAAUACAAAGGGCAGCGAAACCGCGAGGUCAAGCAAAUCCCAUAAAGUUGUUCUCAGUUCGGAUUGUAGUCUGCAACUCGACUAUAUGAAGCUGGAAUCGCUAGUAAUCGUAGAUCAGCAUGCUACGGUGAAUACGUUCCCGGGUCUUGUACACACCGCCCGUCACACCACGAGAGUUUGUAACACCCGAAGCCGGUGGAGUAACCAUUUGGAGCUAGCCGUCGAAGGUGGGACAAAUGAUUGGGGUGAAGUCGUAACAAGGUAGCCGUAUCGGAAGGUGCGGCUGGAUCACCUCCUUUCUAAGGA